UGGCGGACGGGUGAGUAAUGUCUGGGAAACUGCCCGAUGGAGGGGGGUAACUACUGGAAACGGUAGCUAAUACCGCAUAACGUCGCAAGACCAAAGAGGGGGACCUUAGGGCCUCUUGCCAUCGGAUGUGCCCAGAUGGGAUUAGCUAGUAGGUGGGGUAACGGCUCACCUAGGCGACGAUCCCUAGCUGGUCUGAGAGGAUGACCAGCCACACUGGGACUGAGACACGGCCCAG
Molecule: ribosomal RNA, 235 nt
Filed under: uncultured bacterium
Lineage: Bacteria
Description: partial 16S ribosomal RNA
Rfam family: Bacterial small subunit ribosomal RNA
Source: RNAcentral